UGGGGAAUAUUGGGCAAUGGGGGAAACCCUGACCCAGCGACGCCGCGUGGGUGAUGAAGGCCUUCGGGUCGUAAAGCCUUGUCAAGAGGAACGAAUGUCUUUAGGGUAAAUAGCCCUAAGGAGUGACGGUACCUCUGAAGGAAGCACCGGCCAACUCCGUGCCAGCAGCCGCGGUAAGACGGAGGGUGCAAGCGUUGCUCGGAAUCAUUGGGCGUAAAGGGUGCGUAGGCGGCUUCUUAAGUCUGGCGUGAAAGCCCAGGGCUCAGCCUUGGAAGUGCGCUAGAAACUGAGGAGCUUGAGUGCCGGAGGGGAGAGUGGAAUUCCUGGUGUAGCGGUGAAAUGCGUAGAUAUCAGGAGGAAUACCGGUGGCGAAAGCGACUCUCUGGACGGUAACUGACGCUGAGGCACGAAAGCGUGGGUAGCAAACAGG
Molecule: ribosomal RNA, 430 nt
Filed under: uncultured bacterium
Lineage: Bacteria
Description: bacterial SSU rRNA
Rfam family: Bacterial small subunit ribosomal RNA
Source: RNAcentral